AGUGAACGCUGGCGGUAUGCCUAACACAUGCAAGUCGAACGGCAGCACAGUAAUAGCUUGCUCUUACGGGUGGCGAGUGGCGGACGGGUGAGGAAUACAUCGUAAUCUACUUUUUCGUGGGGGAUAACGUAGGGAAACUUACUCUAAUACCGCAUACGACCUACGGGUGAAAGCAGGGGAUCUUCGGACCUUGCGCGAUUGAAUGAGCCGAUGUCGGAGUAGCUAGUUGGCGGGGUAAAGGCCCACCAAGGCGACGAUCCGUAGCUGGUCUGAGAGGAUGAUCAGCCACACUGGAACUGAGACACGGUCCAGACUCAUACGGGAGGGAGCAGUGGGGAAUAUUGGACAAAGGGCGCAAGCCUGAUCCAGCCAUACCGAGUGGGUGAAGAAGGCCUUCGGGUUGUAAAGCCCUUUUGUUGGGAAAGAAAAGCAGCAGGUUAAUACCCCGCUGUUCUGACGGUACCCAAAGAAUAAGCACCGGCUAACUUCGUG
This 492-nucleotide ribosomal RNA is filed under the name uncultured bacterium. Its description in RNAcentral is "partial 16S ribosomal RNA". It matches the Rfam family "Bacterial small subunit ribosomal RNA", at positions 29 to 507 of the family's 1533-position model. The record is from RNAcentral.